RNAcentral lists this transfer RNA (21 nucleotides) under Ceratotherium simum simum (southern white rhinoceros). Its description in RNAcentral is "partial tRNA-Pro". RNAcentral also lists the same sequence under 1 other name. Lineage: Eukaryota; Metazoa; Chordata; Mammalia; Perissodactyla; Rhinocerotidae. The record is from RNAcentral.
UUCUACUUAAACUACUCCUUG